AUCUAUUUAAUUAUUAAGUUCCAACGGUAUAAGAUGAGCAUGCGUCCAUUAGCUAGUUGGUGUGGUAACGGCACACCAAGGCGACGAGUGGUAGGGGUCCUGAGAGGGAGAUCCCCCACACUGGUACUGAGACACGGACCAGACUCCUACGGGAGGCAGCAGUGAGGAAUAUUGGUCAAUGGGCGCAAGCCUGAACCAGCCAUGCCGCGUGCAGGAUGACGGUCCUAUGGAUUGUAAACUGCUUUUGUACAGGAAGAAACACUCCCUCGUGAGGGAGCUUGACGGUACUGUAAGAAUAAGGAUCGGCUAACUCCGUG
Molecule: ribosomal RNA, 317 nt
Filed under: uncultured bacterium
Lineage: Bacteria
Description: bacterial SSU rRNA
Rfam family: Bacterial small subunit ribosomal RNA
Source: RNAcentral